Molecule: long non-coding RNA, 2686 nt
Organism: Homo sapiens (human)
Lineage: Eukaryota; Metazoa; Chordata; Mammalia; Primates; Hominidae
Gene: UXT-AS1
Product: UXT antisense RNA 1
Source: Ensembl
GUGCUGGGUCACACCUGAUGCCAACAUGGCUCUGAAUCUCAUCCAACGCCCAUGAUUCCAGCUUUGGCCAUGGGGAGCUCCUUCAUGCUGGUUCCUGCAUCCUUCAGACAUGCCCUGUCCUUCUGUGAGCACUGUCUUACUUUCUGACCCCACAAGAUAUUUCAGGCUCAUCUUGUAGUUUCCCUGCUCCAGUCCUGGACUCAGCCACUUCUCCAAGAACCUCUGAUUCUUUUUCUUAGAGAAUGGUAUUGAGAAGCCAAGAUCUGGGGACUAAGUGUUCAACUUGUGUUCCACUGUUACUUUAAUGUAUCCCUGGAAUCCAAUCAAGAGAUAGAAACCACAUGGUAGUUUAAAUAGAGAAUGUUUAAUAUAACUAUUAACUAUAACAGGAGAUUGGAGAAAUGGGGGAUUGGCUAGUAAGAGGUAAGAAGAACCCUCACUGCUCCCAAAACAAAGGAGGAAUAUCAGAUUUAGGGAGUAGCCAUUGUCCCCAGUGCCUAAGAAAGAGGCCACUCUCCAUCUUUCCACCCCCUCUCAGAACCAGACCUCACUGGAAAGGGCUCCACUGUGACCUACUGGAUGGCAGAGAAGAUUGCUGGGGUGCUUUGGAAAUCUGCCCUCUGUAAUGCAGAAGGAAGCUGUCCAUGGGCAGGAGUCAUGCUUUGGAACUCACAGCAAAGUCACUAGAGGGCUGCCGGGGGAAGCUGUUCAUAGGGAUGUGCCACAUGCUGCUGGCCACUGGGCACUGCUGGCCACCUAGAGAUGCAUUGUGUAAGCCGCAGAUGCUGCAGGAGCCUGAUGAGGGGAGCUCAUGAGAACCAGGAAGAGAAAUCUCUUCCUCUUCCAAAGUCUUUCUAGUGCCCUCUACUGAUAAUUGGAACAUUUAGGUGAAUUCUUCUGUUUCCCAUGUUCUUCAGUGUCACUAUGCUAUUCAUUUUUAAUACAUGUAUGUUCAUUUGUUAGUUUAUAUGCCAUUUAGAGUUUCCCCCACAUCAUAGUCCAUUUUGAAUUUGAUUUUUUUAGGGUAUGUGAAACAGUAUGGUUCCAAGAGAAAAAGCUGCACAAAAGGUCCCUUCAAAGAAGUGCCACUUAUCUCAUCCCUACUAUCCUGUCCCUUUCCCACCAUCCCCUUAUAAGUAAGUAAUCUCUUUAGUUUCUAUUAUAGUUUAUUCACCUGUAUUUCUUUUGCACAAGUGAGCAGGUACAUGUAUGUCUUCUUAUAUCCCUUCUUUCUGUGAAGGAUAGCAUACAGUAGAUAUUCUUUAGAGCUUUGCUUUUUCACUUACAGAUAUGUCCUAGAAAUUUUUCUGUAUUAAUUCAUGAUAUUCCUCUUUUUAACAGUUACCUAGUACUCCAUUGUGUGUAUAUACCUUAGUUUGUUCAACUACUCUCCUAUGUAUAGACAUUUAUAUUUUGUAAUUACAAUGCUGUAAUGAAUAACUUUGUGCAUUGUAUUUUGCUAUUGUUAGAGAUGUAUCUUCAGGAUAUUGUUAAGUAUUCUCCAAUUCCCCUCCAGAAGGACUGUACCAGUUUUCAUUCCCAACAGAAAUAUGCAAGAGUGACUGUUCCCCUACAGCUUCACCAACAUAAUAUCUUAUCAUACUUUUAAUAUUUACCAGUCCAAAAGAUGAGAAAUGAAAUCUCAAUGUUGUUUUAGUGUGCAUUUCUCUAAUUAUAAAUGAGUUUGAACUUUAAAAAUAUGUUUGGUUGAAUAAUAUUCCAUUGUGUGUAUAUAUAUAUAUCACAUUUUCUUGAUCCAUUUGUCCAUUAAUGGACAGGUAGGUUGUUUCCAUAUCUUGGCUAUUGUGAAAAAUGCUACAAUGAACAUGGGAGUGCAGAUAUUUUCACUAGGUGGUGAAAUAUUAUUCAGCCAUAUAAAAGGAGGAGAUCCUGCCAUUUGCCACAACAUAGAUGGACCUGCAGAACAUUAUGCUAAGUGAAAUAAGUUAGAUACAGAAAGAAAAAUAUUGCAUGAUUUCACUUAUGUAUGAAAUCUAACAAACAAAACUUAAAAUAUCCAGAUAUAGAGAAUAAAACAGUGGUUACCAGGUGUAUUAGUCCGUUCUCACACUGCUGUGAAGAAAUGCCUGACUCUGGAUGAUUUAUAAAGGAAAGAGGUUUAAUAGACUCACAGUUCCGCAUUGUUGGGGGGGCCUCAGGAAACUUACAACUGUGGCAGAAGGCAAAGAGAUGCAGGCACCUUCUUCACAGGGAGGCAGGACGGAGUGAGUGCAAACAGGGGAAAUGCCAGAUGCUUAUAAAACCAUCAGGUCUCAUGAGAACUCACUCACUAUCACGAGAACAGCAUGGGGGAAACCGCCCCCAUGAUCCAAUUACCUCCACCUGGUCCCACCCUUGACACAUGGGGAUUAUGGGGAUUACAACUGGAGAUGAGAUUUGGGUGGGGACACGAAGCCUAACCAUAUCACCAGGGAUGGGGUUGGGUGGGGAGGAAAUGGGGAGAUGUAGCUCAAAGACACAAAGAAGCAGAUAUGUGGGAUGAACAAGUCUAGAGAUCUAAUGUACAACAUGAGGACUAUAGGCAAUAAAAUUGUGCUGUAAUAGGGAUUUUUGUUAAAUAAGUAGAUUUUAGUUGCUAUUGUCACUAAGAAGUAACUACGUGAGAUGAUGGAUAUGUUAAUUUGCUUCACUACAGUAACCAUUUUACUAUUUAUAUGUAUCUCAU